RNAcentral lists this ribosomal RNA (305 nucleotides) under uncultured bacterium. RNAcentral's name for it is "bacterial SSU rRNA". It matches the Rfam family "Bacterial small subunit ribosomal RNA", at positions 336 to 658 of the family's 1533-position model. The record is from RNAcentral.
UUCCUACGGGAGGCAGCAGUGGGGAAUAUUGCACAAUGGGGGAAACCCUGAUGCAGCGACGCCGCGUGAAGGAUGAAGUAUUUCGGUAUGUAAACUUCUAUCAGCAGGGAAGAAAAUGACGGUACCUGGCUAAGAAGCCCCGGCUAACUACGUGCCAGCAGCCGCGGUAAUACGUAGGGGGCAAGCGUUAUCCGGAUUUACUGGGUGUAAAGGGAGCGUAGACGGUAUGGCAAGUCUGAUGUGAAAACCCGGGGCUUAACCCCGGGACUGCAUUGGAAACUGCCGAACUAGAGUGUCGGAGAGGC